AUGGGGAAUAUUGCACAAUGGGCGCAAGCCUGAUGCAGCCAUGCCGCGUGUAUGAAGAAGGCCUUCGGGUUGUAAAGUACUUUCAGCGGGGAGGAAGGUGUUGUGGUUAAUAACCGCAGCAAUUGACGUUACCCGCAGAAGAAGCACCGGCUAACUCCGUGCCAGCAGCCGCGGUAAUACGGAGGGUGCAAGCGUUAAUCGGAAUUACUGGGCGUAAAGCGCACGCAGGCGGUCUGUCUAGUCGGAUGUGAAAUCCCCGGGCUCAACCUGGGAACUGCAUUCGAAACUGGCAGGCUAGAGUCUUGUAGAGGGGGGUAGAAUUCCAGGUGUAGCGGUGAAAUGCGUAGAGAUCUGGAGGAAUACCGGUGGCGAAGGCGGCCCCCUGGACAAAGACUGACGCUCAGGUGCGAAAGCGUGGGGAGCAAACAGGAUUAGAAACCCGUGUAGUCC
RNAcentral lists this ribosomal RNA (450 nucleotides) under uncultured bacterium. Its description in RNAcentral is "partial 16S ribosomal RNA". It matches the Rfam family "Bacterial small subunit ribosomal RNA", at positions 354 to 796 of the family's 1533-position model. The record is from RNAcentral.